GUAUGUAGUCAGCAACGCCUAGAAACAAUCAGAGAAGAACAUGAGGUGACCGUGGGGCGUAUAACCACACCCACCUCCCAGGGGAUCAGCUCAUUGUUGGAGGAGUAAAGUCAUCACAGAGUGAAAUGGGCAGCUCCGUUGGUAUGGAAGAGUAUGGAACUGAGGUUUAGGGAGUCCUUGUUUCCAGGCUCAGAGUUGCCAUGUGGAGUAUGUCUUCGGAGAAGCCCCUUAAAUUGUGAACAUUGAGAAGUGAACCAAGAACCAUGAUGUCUGGUAAAGCCCAGUUCCUUCAAGGCUUAUCAGCAGAACAAGACAAGGUUCUAAGAGCUUCCAUGGAGAUCAGAAGAUAUCUACCACAAGCCACUCUGAGCUGGGCACCAAGGGCUGCAGGCUGUGGUGGAACCACCUCUACUUGGAGAAGGUCACUUUUUGCAUUCUGAUGAAGUAUCCCUGGGGAUUGACUGUCCUGUAACCAACAUAACUGAGAAGGGGUAUGGGUUUAAUCACCUUGUCACCGAGUGUGGGAUUCAGAAAGAGGUAAGAGCUAUGGACAUUUCAAAUCAUAAACUAACCCUGGAUUUUAACUUGCAGUGGCACAGUGCAAGAUAGGUGCAGUCAUGGCUGAAGAUGAAGCCAUGAAGAACCUGUUCAUUUUUAUGACACUUGAUUUUGGUGCUUUUAGGAUAGA
Molecule: long non-coding RNA, 688 nt
Organism: Felis catus (domestic cat)
Lineage: Eukaryota; Metazoa; Chordata; Mammalia; Carnivora; Felidae
Exons: 3
Source: RefSeq, a predicted model, not a curated record